This 254-nucleotide ribosomal RNA is filed under the name uncultured bacterium. Its description in RNAcentral is "partial 16S ribosomal RNA". It matches the Rfam family "Bacterial small subunit ribosomal RNA", at positions 524 to 776 of the family's 1533-position model. The record is from RNAcentral.
UACGUAGGGGGCAAGCGUUAUCCAGAUUUACUGGGCGUAAAGCGCGUGUAGGCGGCUGGUUAGGUGUGAUGUGAAAUCUUCCGGCUCAACCGGAAAACUGCAUUGCAAACCGGCCUGGCUAGAGUGCAGGAGAGGGAAGCGGAAUUCCAGGAGUAGCGGUGACAUGCGUAGAUAUCUGGAGGAACACCAGUGGCGAAGGCGGCUUCCUGGCUUAAAACUGACACUGUGGCGCGAAAGCGUGGGUAGCAAAUAGG